This 754-nucleotide ribosomal RNA is filed under the name Vreelandella aquamarina. RNAcentral's name for it is "bacterial SSU rRNA". It matches the Rfam family "Bacterial small subunit ribosomal RNA", at positions 33 to 788 of the family's 1533-position model. The record is from RNAcentral. Lineage: Bacteria; Pseudomonadati; Pseudomonadota; Gammaproteobacteria; Oceanospirillales; Halomonadaceae.
AGGCUGGCGCAGCUACACAUGCAAGUCGAGCGGUAACAGAUCCAGCUUGCUGGAUGCUGACGAGCGGCGGACGGGUGAGUAAUGCAUAGGAAUCUGCCCGAUAGUGGGGGAUAACCUGGGGAAACCCAGGCUAAUACCGCAUACGUCCUACGGGAGAAAGGGGGCUUCGGCUCCCGCUAUCGGAUGAGCCUAUGUCGGAUUAGCUAGUUGGUGAGGUAACGGCUCACCAAGGCGACGAUCCGUAGCUGGUCUGAGAGGAUGAUCAGCCACAUCGGGACUGAGACACGGCCCGAACUCCUACGGGAGGCAGCAGUGGGGAAUAUUGGACAAUGGGGGGAACCCUGAUCCAGCCAUGCCGCGUGUGUGAAGAAGGCCCUCGGGUUGUAAAGCACUUUCAGCGAGGAAGAACGCCUAGCGGUUAAUACCCGCUAGGAAAGACAUCACUCGCAGAAGAAGCACCGGCUAACUCCGUGCCAGCAGCCGCGGUAAUACGGAGGGUGCAAGCGUUAAUCGGAAUUACUGGGCGUAAAGCGCGCGUAGGUGGCUUGAUAAGCCGGUUGUGAAAGCCCCGGGCUCAACCUGGGAACGGCAUCCGGAACUGUCAAGCUAGAGUGCAGGAGAGGAAGGUAGAAUUCCCGGUGUAGCGGUGAAAUGCGUAGAGAUCGGGAGGAAUACCAGUGGCGAAGGCGGCCUUCUGGACUGACACUGACACUGAGGUGCGAAAGCGUGGGUAGCAAACAGGAUUAGUCCCUCU